CAACCCUCAAGCCCUGCUUGGUGUUGGGGCCCUACGGCUGCCGUAGGCCCUGAAAGGAAGUGGCGGGCUCGCUGCAACUCCGAGCGCAGUAAUUCAUUAUCUCGCUAGGGAGGCCGCGGCGCGCUCCUGCCGUUAAAGACCCCAUCUUUAACCAA
RNAcentral lists this unclassified non-coding RNA (155 nucleotides) under uncultured Coniochaetales. RNAcentral's name for it is "sequence contains ITS2". Lineage: Eukaryota; Fungi; Ascomycota; Sordariomycetes; Coniochaetales. The record is from RNAcentral.